CCUAAAAAUUAGACAGCAAAACUAAAUUUAUAGACUGCUAAGAAAGUAGUCGGUAUAAAAUAAAAUUACAGACCGCUAUAAAGCAGUAGGUAUUUUAACGUCUAUUUUUUAAACAAUAACGACUAACUACAAGAAUAAGAAAAAAUUCAAAGAAUAAGUUUGGGUACUCACCGUGAUUUUCGAAAGGUUGGUCCUUGAAGAUUUGUCAUUUUCAUCUCUCGCCAUUUGUCCGUGGAGAUUCCAAAAGGAUUGUGGUGAAUGGGACCGAGAAGUAUGAGGAGCUAGAAAGCAAAUCGACGAACAACUCGCCAACGAUGGAGCUAUCACUGGAUAAAUCGGCGAGAAAAUCGAUGGUCGUUGGUGAUCGAUUUUUUAGUUUAGGUGAUUGUAAGUAUCUUUUCUUUCAAUUUAUUAAUUUUAGAUGUUUAGAUCUAGUUAGAAUUCUACAUUCUUUAGAUGUUCCGGUGCAAUUAUUUUGGUUAUUUAAAUUUAAUAUUUAUUUUUGGUGAUUGAAAUUUUGUAUUUGAUUAUGCAUAUAUAAUUCAAAAUUUAGCCAUAAAUAAA
This is a long non-coding RNA of Spinacia oleracea (spinach), 564 nucleotides long. RefSeq lists it as uncharacterized. The record is from RefSeq and is a predicted model, not a curated record. NCBI's taxonomy places the organism in Eukaryota, Viridiplantae, Streptophyta, Magnoliopsida, Caryophyllales, Amaranthaceae. The transcript is spliced from 2 exons.